Molecule: ribosomal RNA, 253 nt
Filed under: uncultured bacterium
Lineage: Bacteria
Description: partial 16S ribosomal RNA
Rfam family: Bacterial small subunit ribosomal RNA
Source: RNAcentral
UACGUAGGGUGCGAGCGUUGUCCGGAAUUAUUGGGCGUAAAGAGCUCGUAGGCGGUUUGUCGCGUCUGCUGUGAAAACCCGAGGCUCAACCUCGGGCCUGCAGUGGGUACGGGCAGACUAGAGUGCGGUAGGGGAGAUUGGAAUUCCUGGUGUAGCGGUGGAAUGCGCAGAUAUCAGGAGGAACACCGAUGGCGAAGGCAGAUCUCUGGGCCGAUACUGACGCUGAGGAGCGAAAGCGUGGGGAGCAAACAGG